GACGAACGCUGGCGGCGUGCUUAACACAUGCAAGUCGAACGGAAAGGCCCUGCUUUUGUGGGGUGCUCGAGUGGCGAACGGUGAGUAACACGUGAGUAACCUGCCCUUGACUUUGGGAUAACUUCAGGAAACUGGGGCUAAUACCGGAUACGAGCUCCUGCUGCAUGGUGGGGGUUGGAAAGUUUCGGCGGUUGGGGAUGGACUCGCGGCUUAUCAGCUUGUUGGUGGGGUAGUGGCUUACCAAGGCUUUGACGGGUAGCCGGCCUGAGAGGGUGACCGGCCACAUUGGGACUGAGAUACGGCCCAGACUCCUACGGGAGGCAGCAGUGGGGAAUAUUGCACAAUGGGCGGAAGCCUGAUGCAGCAACGCCGCGUGCGGGAUGACGGCCUUCGGGUUGUAAACCGCUUUCGCCUGUGACGAAGCGUGAGUGACGGUAAUGGGUAAAGAAGCACCGGCUAACUACGUG
This 467-nucleotide ribosomal RNA is filed under the name uncultured bacterium. RNAcentral's name for it is "partial 16S ribosomal RNA". It matches the Rfam family "Bacterial small subunit ribosomal RNA", at positions 28 to 507 of the family's 1533-position model. The record is from RNAcentral.